AUGCGAGAUUGUUGGCAUCACAUCGAGAAGAAACUUGGUGACCAGUACCCGCCACUCCAUAGCGCAUGUUGCAAUACAAUAAGAGAUGCGAAAGACAUCCACUGCAUCUGUGAUCGGUUCACCGCUCACGAACUGACUUUGCUCAGUCUAGCCAAGUUUGCCAUGGCUACACAUGUAUGCGGCAAUGGGUUGCACACAGACACUCACUGUGCAGGUUGGUAUAUUGUCAUAUUUGCGCGCGCACACACAAAUAAAACUUUAUAUAAUUUCUCAUGUUCAUCAUUAUGA
This 288-nucleotide ribosomal RNA is filed under the name Triticum aestivum (bread wheat). Its description in RNAcentral is "partial small subunit ribosomal RNA". Lineage: Eukaryota; Viridiplantae; Streptophyta; Magnoliopsida; Poales; Poaceae. The record is from RNAcentral.